RNAcentral lists this ribosomal RNA (253 nucleotides) under uncultured bacterium. Its description in RNAcentral is "partial 16S ribosomal RNA". It matches the Rfam family "Bacterial small subunit ribosomal RNA", at positions 524 to 776 of the family's 1533-position model. The record is from RNAcentral.
UACGGAGGGUGCAAGCGUUGUCCGGAUUUAUUGGGUUUAAAGGGUGCGUAGGCGGCCUUUUAAGUCAGUGGUGAAAGCCCGCGGCUCAACCGCGGAACUGCCAUUGAUACUGGAAGGCUUGAGUACAGACGAGGUGGGCGGAAUUGAAGAUGUAGCGGUGAAAUGCUUAGAUAUCUUCAAGAACACCGAUUGCGUAGGCAGCUCACUAGGCUGUAACUGACACUGAGGCACGAAAGCGUGGGGAGCGAACAGG